GAUUUAGAGGAGGGACCCGGCCUAGCCGGUGGUUCAGGUGGCCGGUCGGGCUGGAAGGGCGGGGAUGAGGGAUGGGACGCAUCCCCGGGGGAUGCUCCUCCAAAGCUUUUAUCGGGCGAGCGCAGUGGCUCACGCCUGUAAUUCCUGCACUUUGGGAGGCUAAGGAUGAAAGGCUUCCUAGCACAAACACCACCCCUGGAGUUCCCGGUACAUCAAUACCAGCCUGGGGAUCACGUUCUCAUCAAGAGUUGGAAGAGGGAAAGCUUGAACCAGCUUAGGAGGACCUCAUCUGGUACUCUUGAUGAAUGAAACAGCAAUCUGAAUGGCUGAAAAAGGAUGGACCCAGCACUCCAGGGAGAAAACUUGGCAUUCUUUGGGAAUCUAACAGGAUGCAGUGAACCCAAGCCUUUUGAAGAGCUCACCAAUCAGACUGCCCUUGUCUAUCCAUGAGCAGAUGUUUGAUAGUAUUGCGGAGGCCCUCUAGUGGGUAUGCUGCCAAGCAACUGGAGUGGCACUUGGGCUCUAAUCCAGUUGUCUAUCCCUUUCACCCUGGCAUUUCAUCAGCCAAACAAAAACCAACUAACUCAGAAAAAAAGGAAAGCCCCUCAAGGGUCCUUUGACCCCGAUAUCUACAUAGAUGCUAUCGGGGUCCCCUGAGGGGUACCAAACGAAUUCAAAGCUCGAAAUCAAAUAGCUGCUGGAUUCAAGUCUGUCCUUUUCUUGUGGUCUACUAUAAAUAAAAAUGUAGACUGGAUAAAUUACAUAUACUAUAACCAACAACGAUUUGUCAGUUACACCAGGGAUGCCAUUAAAGGAAUAGCUGAACAAUUGGGUUUCACCAGCCAAAUGGCCUGGGAAAAUAGAAUAGCUCUUGACAUGAUAUUAGUGGAAGUCCAAUGUUGUACCUGUAUCCCCAAUAAUACAGCCCCUGAUGUAACUAUCACUAAGGGUCUAUAAGGCCUCACCACUCUAGGAAAUGAACUAGCUGAAAAUUCGGGAAUGAAUGAUCCCUUUACAGGUGUAAUGGAAAAAAUGGUUUGGUAGAUGGAAAGGACUAAUGGCCUCUAUUCUCACCUCCCUUGUGAUCAUAAUAGGGGUGCUCAUUCUCUUAGGGUGCUGUAUUAUACCCUGUGUCUGCGGACUAGUUCAAAAGCUCAUAGAAACAGCCCUUACCAAGACCUCCCACAACUCUCCCCCACCCUAUUCAGAUAAACGUUUAUUUCUAAGCAACCAAGAAGAGCAGUGAAGCCAGAUCCUGUUAGAAAUAUAUGAAGAGGAAGGACUACAAAAUCAAAAGGGGAAAAUUAUUAGACAAAAUGAGUUGCUCUACAAAGGUCCAACUUCGUUGUCCUUUGUUCUGUAACCUUUGUUCUGUAAACUGCCCUUCCCGCAGAAACUGUCUUUCCCGCCGACCAAAACUGCCCUUCACUAUCACUGUAAUCCAUACCCCUACUCUAUUUGAAACUGCCAAUCGGGAUCAGCUUACAUUGUGUGGUUCAACCACCAGCCAAUGAGGAAAAAACACAGAAGCAAAAGCUAUGAUGCAUUAGGGUUAAAAACCCCUUCCUUUCCCUGUCCAAUGUGCUCUUGAGACUGCUACAGGCGCAAGCAGCCACCUUCUGCAGAAGUAAACCUUGCCUUGCUGAGAAAUUUUUCUUUUGAGUGCUGGUCUCUCUCUGUGGCACCAAGAACUUAUUUCUAACAUGGAGUGAUUUCCAAGAUAGAUGGUUAAGUGAAAAUAAAAACUGUUGCCAGGCACGGUAGCUCAUGCCUGUAAUCCCAGCACUUUGGGAGUCUGAGGAGGUUGGAUUAUUUGAGGUCAGGAGUUUGAGACCAGCCUAGCCAACAUGGUGAAAUCCUGUCUCUUCUAAAUAUACAAAAAAUUAGCCGGGCGUGGUUGUGGGUGCCUGUAAUCCCAGCUACUUGGGAAGCUGAGGCAGAAGAAUUGCUUAAACCCAGGAAGCAGAGGUUGCAGUGAGCCGAGAUCACAGCACUGCACUCCAGCCUGGGUGAUAGAGUGAGACUCGGUCUCAAAAACAAUAAUAAUAAUAAUAAUAAUACAAAUAAAAAAAUGAAAAUAAAGGCCAGGUGCUGUGGCUCACCCCUCUAAUCCCAGCACUUUGGGAGGCUGAGGCAGGUGGAUCACAAGGUCAGGAGUUCAAAACCAGCCUGGCCAAGAUGGUGAAACCCCGUCUCUACUAAAAAUACAAAAAUUAGCUGGGCACAGUGGCAGGCGCCUGUAAUCCCAGCUACUUGGGAGGCUGAGGCAGGAUAAUUGCUUAAACCUGGGUGGCAGAGGUUGCAGUGAGCCAAGAUCAUGCCACUGCACUCCAGCCUGGGC
Homo sapiens (human) is the source of this 2341-nucleotide long non-coding RNA. Ensembl annotates it as ZNF561 antisense RNA 1 (head to head). Its record names the gene ZNF561-AS1. NCBI's taxonomy places the organism in Eukaryota, Metazoa, Chordata, Mammalia, Primates, Hominidae. The record is from Ensembl.